UCAACCGUCUUCCUUGUUAGUAAAGUAACGUUAGCUUAGCUUCUGUUGUUUGCAGCGCUGUUGAUGUUGACGUUAACGGCUGCCGCUGGAUAAGAUCUACCAGACCCCGGUUUAAAACACACACCGUGUCCCAGACUUUCAAACUCUUUGUGUCUAGCUAACUUAGCUACUUACAUAGUA
Etheostoma spectabile (orangethroat darter) is the source of this 180-nucleotide long non-coding RNA. RefSeq lists it as uncharacterized. NCBI's taxonomy places the organism in Eukaryota, Metazoa, Chordata, Actinopteri, Perciformes, Percidae. The transcript has 3 exons. The record is from RefSeq and is a predicted model, not a curated record.